ACUACAAAAUAAACGCACUUGUUGACAGCAGCAGUCAAUGCAGAGCGUAAACGGUAAUUCCCGAUUUUCUGGGUUCCCUCUGAAACAUUGGCCAUCACCCAUCAUUAUCAUUACGCAUUGAGACAGUGCCAUUCCGCAACAUUUGCGGACCAAGGAAUCAAGGAAUUUACUUGUUGCGAACCAUACCGCGGCGUCAGUGUCCAAAAGCUGUCAAAUGCUGCGCAUGCACAACCUUUUGGUGUCUUCAGUCAAUGGAACCUGCCUAAUCCAUCACACGAAAAAAACUAAAUUGGAAGACUAUCAAUUUACUCAGCUAGUUGUGCGGCGAGAUCCGGAAAUAUUGUUUUAUUAUUUUGUCACAUGGCUGAGAGAUUUCAAUAACAACAAAAAAUGGCGACAAUCACGUUGUUCGAUGUGGGUCUUGCUGCGUCAUUAAAACUAUUCACGUAAACACGGGAAUGAAACGCGCAAAAUGCAAAACCAGCAAAUCGAGUUGUUUACAUGAAGCGGAGGGAGAAGGAGAUAGGGAGGAGCCUCCUCCGGCGGGCUACGCRACUGGACUGCUGGAGAGCCUUCGCGCGCUGAGGGCGGAGCCCCAAGAACCAUAACAAGUCCGACGUCAGCUAUUUGGUGCCCAUAAAUUAUGCAGUUCAAACAAUACUAAGUAAACAGUGGUGACUUCGACCAAUUAACAAGGUUUUAUUMUUUUGGGCUACAUGUAUCUGUUGUAUAGAAAAUGAUCUUUCAAAGAGGUUUAGAAAAAGCUGAUAUGCUACAGUAGUUACACAUGUAUUGGUAGGUAUUACAUUCAAAUGAGGUGAGAAAGAAACAUCUUACUAAUGGUAGUAAAAUUYCUUUCUAAAAUUCUGUAAUGCCUGUGUCGAAUUCAUAGCACAUACACAAUUCAUGAUUAUAUCCURUGAAUAAUUACAAAGCUUUGCAGGUUUUGGUAACCUAUUAGAGAAACCUAUUUACAUUACUUCUGCAUGCAAUUGUGUUCUCAUUCUUGUAAUGUGAUACCAUGAAAUACAUAAAUACAGACAUGAUAUUUGGAUUUUA
Salvelinus sp. IW2-2015 is the source of this 1059-nucleotide long non-coding RNA. RefSeq lists it as uncharacterized. NCBI's taxonomy places the organism in Eukaryota, Metazoa, Chordata, Actinopteri, Salmoniformes, Salmonidae. The record is from RefSeq and is a predicted model, not a curated record.